UUGACUUAUGCAACAGAUCAAUUGAAUGCUGCUUCGAGUGCGGCGAGUGCGAUUACCCAAACGGUUGUGCAAGCACAAUCAAGUUAUU
Molecule: transfer RNA, 88 nt
Filed under: Lactiplantibacillus plantarum
Lineage: Bacteria; Bacillati; Bacillota; Bacilli; Lactobacillales; Lactobacillaceae
Description: Lactobacillus plantarum tRNA-Ser(cga)
Source: RNAcentral